GACGUAGGGGGCGAGCGUUGUCCGGAAUUACUGGGCGUAAAGAGCACGUAGGCGGGAACUUAAGUCAGGUGUGAAAGACCGGGGCUCAACUCCGGGUGUGCAUUUGAGACUGGGUUUCUUGAGGGCAGGAGAGGAAAGCAGAAUUCCUGGUGUAGCGGUGAAAUGCGUAGAAAUCAGGAGGAAUACCAGUGGCGAAGGCGGCUUUCUGGACUGACCCUGACGCUGAGGUGCGAAAGCGUGGGUAG
This 245-nucleotide ribosomal RNA is filed under the name uncultured Syntrophomonas sp. RNAcentral's name for it is "partial 16S ribosomal RNA". It matches the Rfam family "Bacterial small subunit ribosomal RNA", at positions 524 to 768 of the family's 1533-position model. The record is from RNAcentral. Lineage: Bacteria; Bacillati; Bacillota; Clostridia; Eubacteriales; Syntrophomonadaceae.